Non-coding RNA from Rattus norvegicus (Norway rat), 77 nucleotides. Lineage: Eukaryota; Metazoa; Chordata; Mammalia; Rodentia; Muridae. The record is from Rfam.
GGGGAUUUAGCUCAGUGGUAGAGCGCUUGCCUAGCAAGCUAGCAAGCGCAAGGCCCUGGGUUCGGUCCCCAGCUCCG